Molecule: long non-coding RNA, 918 nt
Organism: Prunus dulcis (almond)
Lineage: Eukaryota; Viridiplantae; Streptophyta; Magnoliopsida; Rosales; Rosaceae
Exons: 3
Source: RefSeq, a predicted model, not a curated record
AACCGGGCAAAUACGAAAAAUGCCUCCCAACUCUCUCUACAAUCAGAUCUGACUUCCAAUUCCAAGCGAUUAAGCGAGAGAGCGAGCUAGAGAGUCCGAGAGAGUAGAGAAUCCCUAGGUUCCGUCGCUCGCGUCUCUGAGUAGACGACAUUCGAGAAUGGAGCAUACGAACCUAAAUCAUUUUCAUUGCCUUGUCCGGAACCGGAUCCGGAUCCGAACAAGGCAAUGAUUUAGGGUUUCGGAUGGUGCAAAGAGAAUGGUGAGAUCGUUUGUCUCUGCGUCGACGAUGAAAAUGACAACAAUCCAGGACGUAGCCAUGUCGCGCGGAUCAGGAUCUGUCUCAGAUUACGGUCAUACUUUUAACUGAGCUCGCUCAGCCUCAUUGACAUUCGAGUUUGGUUAUGGGAUGUUACAUUUUACGGAUGGGUUUCCUUCAAACAGUGUAGCAGUUGCUUAACCUUGUUUCACAGGCGUUUUUCAAAUUUCCGUCAUUGUUUGCAGUUUUUUUCCCGCGUUGCAUGGUCUCCGUGUGUGUGUGUGUGUGUGUGUCUCUCUCUCUCUCUCUCAUUUCUCAUCUGUCUCCUCAGAUCUCCUUUCAUAUGUUUCGGUUUAGGCGGUGGGAAAAUGAAGGCAAAGGAUGAAAGUCAAAUGGGAAAAAGAGGAUUGGAGUUGAAGCACGGCUGGCAUGGUUUUUUCAAGUGUUUUUAAUGUCUUUUUUGUUUAGUUUGUUAUAAUUCUAUGAUUAAGUUUUUUUUUUUUUUUUUUUUUUUUCAAUUUGCAGUCGAUAUUUUAAUCUCUGUUAAUAUGGAAAUGUCAUUACAUGUUAGGAGAUAAACAUUGGAUGACUGAAUGGUCGGCCCCAUAAUUCUCAGUAGGUCCGGUAAGUCCCAGUAGGUCCGAUUCCGUGUUGCAGUAUCA